RNAcentral lists this long non-coding RNA (220 nucleotides) under Gossypium barbadense (sea-island cotton). RNAcentral's name for it is "long non-coding RNA (GBAR_LNC015527)". The record is from RNAcentral. Lineage: Eukaryota; Viridiplantae; Streptophyta; Magnoliopsida; Malvales; Malvaceae.
AAGUCAAGUAGGUUCGAACAAAGAUGGAUAUGGAUUUGGUUUAGGCUAGAAAAGAUGUGAAAUAGGUUUGGUCAAAUUUGGUUUAGGUUUAAUUAGAAAAUGGUUUUGGUUUUGGUACGAAUUGGAAUUGGGUAUUGGUAUGAAAUGGUAUGGGAUUUUUGGUACGAAAUGGCGCAAAAAGGUCAAGAUUGAACCAAAACUAAAGAAGAGUGUUGACCCG